RNAcentral lists this ribosomal RNA (932 nucleotides) under Batkoa apiculata. RNAcentral describes it as "partial large subunit ribosomal RNA". It matches the Rfam family "Eukaryotic large subunit ribosomal RNA", at positions 133 to 908 of the family's 3401-position model. Lineage: Eukaryota; Fungi; Entomophthoromycota; Entomophthoromycetes; Entomophthorales; Batkoaceae. The record is from RNAcentral.
CUAUGCUCUGAUGUAGUUCAAAGAUCAUAUUCGGUACCGGGCUUUCUUAUCAUCUAAGUUGACACGGACUUGUCCGACAGAGAGGGUGAAAUUCCCGUCUAGAUGUAUAAUUGUAAGCUUCCAAACUGAUUGAUCUGAGAGUCGAGUUGCUUGGGAUUGCAGCUUUAAGAUGGAGGUAAAUUCCUUCAAAGACUAAAUAAAGUUGGAUAACCGAUAGCGAACAAGUACCGUGAGGGAAAGUUGAAAAGAACCCCGGAAGGGGGAUCAAAAGAACGUGAAAUUGUACAGAGGGAAACGCUUGGACGCCCCGUAUUCGCAAAUGUUAAUCUCUCAAGUAUUAUUUUUACUGGGAUAAAGAUUACAUUUGGAGAAGCCAUCGCCUUGAGAUUUAAUGCGUGUUGUGAGUAGGAACUAUCAAGUUACAAACGAGAUUUGGGUUUACGCAAGUUUACCUAAUAUCCUCCUUGGCUUUCAGUUAGUUUUCCCACGUAUAAGUCGGCAGUAAAGGAUGUUGAGUCAGUCUUUUGUGGGAUCGAAAGUUGCAAGCUGCGACACGACCUUUUUUAUAAGGGUUACUUUUAGUGUUUAGCUACCUUCUUACGAAGACCUGAGUCUCAAAUAAAAGCACACAUCUUACAAUAUGGCUAAGCAGCGGUCAAGCGACCCGUCUUGAAACACGGACCAAGGAGUCUAACAUGUUAGCAAGUCUUAGGGCCUAGUAACCCCUCUGGCGAAAUGAAAGUGAUUAGAGAUCCGAUUCCGACGCGAUUGGAUGCAGGAUUAGCCAAACUCCAUUAACAAUAGUUGUAGAGUUUGCGCAAGAGCAAAUAUGUUGGGACCCGAAAGAUGGUGAACUAUGCCUGAAUAGGGUGAAGUCAGGGGAAACUCUGAUGGAAGCUCGUAGCGAUUCUGACGUGCAAAUCGAUCGUCAA